This 403-nucleotide ribosomal RNA is filed under the name uncultured bacterium. RNAcentral's name for it is "partial 16S ribosomal RNA". It matches the Rfam family "Bacterial small subunit ribosomal RNA", at positions 30 to 526 of the family's 1533-position model. The record is from RNAcentral.
AUUGAACGCUGGCGGCAGGCCUAACACAUGCAAGUCGAGCGAGCGGCGGACGGGUGAGUAAUGUAUGGGGACUGCCCGAUAGAGGGGGAUUACUUCUGGAAACGGUAGCUAAUACCGCAUACUAUCGGAUAACCCAUAUGGGAUUAGCUAGUAGGUGAGGUAAUGGCCCACCUAGGCGACGAUCCCUAGCUGGUCUGAGAGGAUGUUCAGCCACACGGGGACUGCGACACGGCCCAGACUCCGACGGAGGCAGCAGUGGGGAAUAUUGCGCAAUGGGCGCAAGCCUGAUGCAGCCAUGCCGAGUGUAUGAAGAAGGCCCUAGGGUUGUAAAGUGCUUUCAGUCGGGAGGCGUUACCGACCGAAGAAGCACCGGCUAACUCAGUGCCAGCAGCCGCGGUAAUUC